This 372-nucleotide ribosomal RNA is filed under the name uncultured organism. Its description in RNAcentral is "bacterial SSU rRNA". It matches the Rfam family "Bacterial small subunit ribosomal RNA", at positions 526 to 896 of the family's 1533-position model. The record is from RNAcentral.
CAGAGACUGCAAGCGUUAUUCGGAUUCACUGGGCGUAAAGGGUGCGCAGGCGGCCAAGUGUGUGAGGCGUGAAAGCCUGGAGCUUAACUCCAGAAUUGCACCUCAAACUACAUGGCUAGAGCAUUGGAGAGGGUAGCGGAAUUCACGGUGUAGCAGUGAAAUGCGUAGAUAUCGUGAGGAACACCAGAGGCGAAGGCGGCUACCUGGACAAUUGCUGACGCUCAGGCACGAAAGCGUGGGGAGCAAAAGGGAUUAGAUACCCCUGUAGUCCACGCCCUAAACGGUGCACACUAGGUCUUGGCGGAUUCGACCCCACCAGGGCCCAAGCUAACGCGUUAAGUGUGCCGCCUGAGGACUACGGCCGCAAGGCUA